Molecule: ribosomal RNA, 2902 nt
Filed under: human gut metagenome
Description: bacterial LSU rRNA
Rfam family: Bacterial large subunit ribosomal RNA
Source: RNAcentral
UUAAGCGACUAAGCGUACACGGUGGAUGCCCUGGCAGUCAGAGGCGAUGAAGGACGUGCUAAUCUGCGAAAAGCGUCGGUAAGGUGAUAUGAACCGUUAUAACCGGCGAUGUCCGAAUGGGGAAACCCAGUGCAAUUCGUUGCACUAUCGUUAACUGAAUACAUAGGUUAACGAGGCGAACCGGGGGAACUGAAACAUCUAAGUACCCCGAGGAAAAGAAAUCAACCGAGAUUCCCCCAGUAGCGGCGAGCGAACGGGGAGCAGCCCAGAGUCUGAAUCAGCUUGUGUGUUAGUGGAACGGUCUGGAAAGUCCGACGGUACAGGGUGAUAGUCCCGUACACCAAAAUGCACAGGUUGUGAACUCGAAGAGUAGGGCGGGACACGUGGUAUCCUGUCUGAAUAUGGGGGGACCAUCCUCCAAGGCUAAAUACUCCUGACUGACCGAUAGUGAACCAGUACCGUGAGGGAAAGGCGAAAAGAACCCCGGCGAGGGGAGUGAAAAAGAACCUGAAACCGUGUACGUACAAGCAGUGGGAGCACCUUCGGGUGUGACUGCGUACCUUUUGUAUAAUGGGUCAGCGACUUAUAUUCUGUAGCAAGGUUAACCGUAUAGGGGAGCCGCAGGGAAACCGAGUCUUAACUGGGCGUUAAGUUGCAGGGUAUAGACCCGAAACCCGGUGAUCUAGCCAUGGGCAGGUUGAAGGUUGGGUAACACUAACUGGAGGACCGAACCGACUAAUGUUGAAAAAUUAGCGGAUGACUUGUGGCUGGGGGUGAAAGGCCAAUCAAACCGGGAGAUAGCUGGUUCUCCCCGAAAGCUAUUUAGGUAGCGCCUCGUGAACUCAUCUUCGGGGGUAGAGCACUGUUUCGGCUAGGGGGUCAUCCCGACUUACCAACCCGAUGCAAACUACGAAUACCGAAGAAUGUUAUCACGGGAGACACACGGCGGGUGCUAACGUCCGUCGUGAAGAGGGAAACAACCCAGACCGCCAGCUAAGGUCCCAAAGUCAUGGUUAAGUGGGAAACGAUGUGGGAAGGCACAGACAGCCAGGAUGUUGGCUUAGAAGCAGCCAUCAUUUAAAGAAAGCGUAAUAGCUCACUGGUCGAGUCGGCCUGCGCGGAAGAUGUAACGGGGCUAAACCAUGCACCGAAGCUGCGGCAGCGACACUAUGUGUUGUUGGGUAGGGGAGCGUUCUGUAAGCCUGCGAAGGUGGCCUGUGAGGGUUGCUGGAGGUAUCAGAAGUGCGAAUGCUGACAUAAGUAACGAUAAUGCGGGUGAAAAGCCCGCACGCCGGAAGACCAAGGGUUCCUGUCCAACGUUAAUCGGGGCAGGGUGAGUCGACCCCUAAGGCGAGGCCGAAAGGCGUAGUCGAUGGGAAACAGGUUAAUAUUCCUGUACUUGGUGUUACUGCGAAGGGGGGACGGAGAAGGCUAUGUUAGCCGGGCGACGGUUGUCCCGGUUUAAGCAUGUAGGCGGAGGUUCCAGGUAAAUCCGGUACCUUUUAACGCUGAGGUGUGAUGACGAGGCACUACGGUGCUGAAGUAACAAAUGCCCUGCUUCCAGGAAAAGCCUCUAAGCAUCAGGUAACAUUAAAUCGUACCCCAAACCGACACAGGUGGUCAGGUAGAGAAUACCAAGGCGCUUGAGAGAACUCGGGUGAAGGAACUAGGCAAAAUGGUGCCGUAACUUCGGGAGAAGGCACGCUGAUAUGUAGGUGAAGCCCCUGCGGGUGGAGCUGAAAUCAGUCGAAGAUACCAGCUGGCUGCAACUGUUUAUUAAAAACACAGCACUGUGCAAACACGAAAGUGGACGUAUACGGUGUGACGCCUGCCCGGUGCCGGAAGGUUAAUUGAUGGGGUUAUCCGUAAGGAGAAGCUCUUGAUCGAAGCCCCGGUAAACGGCGGCCGUAACUAUAACGGUCCUAAGGUAGCGAAAUUCCUUGUCGGGUAAGUUCCGACCUGCACGAAUGGCGUAAUGAUGGCCAGGCUGUCUCCACCCGAGACUCAGUGAAAUUGAACUCGCUGUGAAGAUGCAGUGUACCCGCGGCAAGACGGAAAGACCCCGUGAACCUUUACUAUAGCUUGACACUGAACAUUGAGCCUUGAUGUGUAGGAUAGGUGGGAGGCUUUGAAGCGUGGACGCCAGUCUGCGUGGAGCCAACCUUGAAAUACCACCCUUUAAUGUUUGAUGUUCUAACGUUGGCCCCUGACCGGGGUUGCGGACAGUGUCUGGUGGGUAGUUUGACUGGGGCGGUCUCCUCCCAAAGAGUAACGGAGGAGCACGAAGGUUAGCUAAUCCUGGUCGGACAUCAGGAGGUUAGUGCAAUGGCAUAAGCUAGCUUGACUGCGAGCGUGACGGCGCGAGCAGGUGCGAAAGCAGGUCAUAGUGAUCCGGUGGUUCUGAAUGGAAGGGCCAUCGCUCAACGGAUAAAAGGUACUCCGGGGAUAACAGGCUGAUACCGCCCAAGAGUUCAUAUCGACGGCGGUGUUUGGCACCUCGAUGUCGGCUCAUCACAUCCUGGGGCUGAAGUAGGUCCCAAGGGUAUGGCUGUUCGCCAUUUAAAGUGGUACGCGAGCUGGGUUUAGAACGUCGUGAGACAGUUCGGUCCCUAUCUGCCGUGGGCGCUGGAGAAUUGAGGGGGGCUGCUCCUAGUACGAGAGGACCGGAGUGGACGCAUCACUGGUGUUCGGGUUGUCAUGCCAAUGGCAUUGCCCGGUAGCUAAAUGCGGAAGAGAUAAGUGCUGAAAGCAUCUAAGCACGAAACUUGCCCCGAGAUGAGUUCUCCCUGAGACUUUAAGUCUCCUGAAGGAACGUUAAAGACGAUGACGUUGAUAGGUCGGGUGUGUAAGCGUAGCGAUACGUUGAGCUAACCGAUACUAAUGAACCGUGAGGCUUAACCUU